AUGGCAAAAUUCUGGUGGAGUAGCUCCAUCGACAGGCGUUCGCUGCAUUGGAUGUCUUGGGAGAAGCUGUCCGCACCAAAAAUACAGGGCGGGAUGGGCUUUCGGGAGUUUGAAAAGUUUAACCUAGCGCUUCUCGGGAAGCAUGGCUGGCGGCUCCUAACCCAUCUGAAUACCCUCUGUUCGCGAGUUCUCAAAGGAAAAUACAUUCCUAAUGGAGAAUUUUUGCAGGCUCACGCUCCAGCUUCUUCCUCCGCUACAUGGAAGGCGAUUAUAGCCGGGCGUACAGCUUUGCAAACAGGCCUAAUCAAGAGGGUAGGCAAUGGCGAGUCAAUUUCUGUUUGA
RNAcentral lists this ribosomal RNA (342 nucleotides) under Triticum aestivum (bread wheat). RNAcentral describes it as "partial small subunit ribosomal RNA". Lineage: Eukaryota; Viridiplantae; Streptophyta; Magnoliopsida; Poales; Poaceae. The record is from RNAcentral.